Long non-coding RNA from Gossypium arboreum, 296 nucleotides. RefSeq lists it as uncharacterized. The record is from RefSeq and is a predicted model, not a curated record. The transcript has 2 exons. NCBI's taxonomy places the organism in Eukaryota, Viridiplantae, Streptophyta, Magnoliopsida, Malvales, Malvaceae.
AUCAUUUUUCUCUUCUCCUUCACCGAAAUAUGCAGCAAAGAAAGGGAUUUGAAGCUGGAAAAUUUCAGCAACAUAUUUCCCUUGCUUAUGAUGAAAAUCGAGAUUUGGACCUAGAACGGAAAGAAAUCGAUUAAGGGAUAAUUACAACUUUUUUUUCACCUUUGUGGUAUCGAGGUAAGUUCAUGUGUAAAUAAUGUAGCAUAAUUGUUAUUUUUAAGUUAUUGAUGUUAAAUAUAUGAUAUGCUGAUUUCUAUUAUGAAAUAUAUGCUUUGUGGUUAUUUUCGAAUAAAAUGCAA